This is a long non-coding RNA of Ictalurus punctatus (channel catfish), 2135 nucleotides long. Lineage: Eukaryota; Metazoa; Chordata; Actinopteri; Siluriformes; Ictaluridae. The record is from Ensembl.
AAAAAUUCAGCUUUAAUUUCCUGAUGUUUACAUCUAGAUGCCUUAAUCAAGUUAGGAAAAUUAGCAGACCAUCCAAUGUUUUGGUGAGAAAAAGUAUUGAAACAGAUAGGCUUAAAGUAAAUAACACUUACUGUUUGGUUGCAUGUAUCUUGCUUGUAAUAUCUGCAUCAUGCCGGUGGCCCACUGACAUCACCAGACUGUUGCAUUCUUCUUUUGGGAUGCUUUUCCAGGCGUGCAUCACAGCUUCUUUCAGUAAUUGUUUGUUUCUGGGGGAUUUCUCCCUUCAGUCACCUCUUCAGGAGGUCUGGUGACUGACUUGGCCAAUACAAAUUCUUCCACUUUAUUCCCCUGAUAAAGUCCUUUAUUAUGUUAGCAGUGUGUUUUGGAUCGUUGUCUUGCUCAAUGAUGAAGUUCCUCCAAAUAGAUUGGAUGCAUUUCUCUGUAAAUUGGCAGACAGAAUGUUUCUAUAAACUUCUGAAAUCAUUCUGCUGCUAAAACCAUGAGUUACAUCAUCAAGAAGGAUUAGUGAGCCUGUUCCAGAAGCAGCCAUGCAAGCCCAAGCCGUGGCACUACCUCCACCAUGGUUGACCAAUGAAUUAGUAUGUUUUGGAUCAUGAGCAGAUCCAUUUUUCUCCAAACUUUGGUAGAGGUUAAUUUUGGUUCCAAAACCUUUGUGGCUCUUCUCUGUAUUUCUUUGGUCUGCAUAUCUCAAACCCAAAUGUCUUCAGUGUAUAGCAGCACAAAAAAAAAAAAAAAAAAAAAAAAAAAAAAAAAGAUCCUUGCUUUUCCACUACUUUCAGAUGCGUAGUCAUCAUGCCAAACAUUCCAUGCCUAAUUUAUACUCCUAAUUUUAAUACAAACUGAUUGUUGUGAACUUCAUUAUAACCACUUCUUUUAGGGCUUGAUCAUUACUAAGUCACAUGACCAUAAUACAUACAUAGGCUGUGCUAGGAAUGCAAUGACUUGUCUAAAAUCCCUAGAAGCAUCACUUCUCUGAGAUUUCCCUUUAAAUAUCAUUUAUAUAUUAUUGUUUUAAAUUUAUUGUUUUUUACUGCUCAUUUUAUAGAAGGUAAAAGAUGGACUUAUCUUUCCAGAUGCAUGCACACUCAAUUGACUGACAUAAUGGUUUUAGAUGGGACUACAAUUCCAGAGACACAAUAAUUAUUAUUAAUAAUAUUAAUUAAUAAUAUCCCCACCUACCCAUGUAAAACUAAUCCAGUCCGAACUGGGCUUUAAAGGUACUUAAACUUCUAAAUAACUUUUUUUUAAGCGCUUGUUAGAGGAAAACUAACCACUCUUUUGAUUAUGCAUAUUAAACAAAAUAUAUAUAUAUAUAUAAACAAAAUGUGGUUUUGUUUGGUAAAUGAAGUAGGAAUUUAAAUAAGCUCUAUUUAUGAUUCAUUUUUAAGUAGAGAAUAUACAAACAAGAAAAAAACAGAACAAAAAAAAAAUCAGUAGUUACUAGGCUUGCUACACUAACAUGGAACAGCUGUCUGUUGGCUUCCAGAUGUUUACGGUAGUAUGUAGAAAUGUGGUAUCAUUUCACGCGGUGUUAACGUGUUAUUAAUUAACUACGUUUAUUCCCGAUGUGUACGAUAGUACAUUGAUGUAUGGUAUCUUUUCUCACCACAUUAACAUGCGCGGAAAUGUGGCGUCACUUCACACAGAGUUAACACGCUAUUAAUUAUGUUAUUUGUUAAUUGCAAACUGUGAAUAAAGGUCCUUGUAGAAGGACCAGUCCAAAACAGGGAAGGAGAAACCGGCAGCACUUUUACAAGUUUUUUUUUUUUUUUGUAUAUUUGUAAUAUUAAUAACUGUAUGUGAGUUUUUUGCCUAAUGUUUGUGCAUGUCUCCAUAGACACUUGCUCAGUAUUCUUUAUCAUCUGCUAUAUCAGUCUCUAAAUACGCCUAUGGCUGACUGGCAUUCAGUGUUUCUCCCACUUAAUAAGACUUGUUAAUAAACACGUGUUGGGGUUAUUUAUGCUAAAGCAGUGCUUUUAUUACAAUUACCCUUAUGCAUAAAAUUGAUGGACUCACUACUUUUUGGGCAUUAUCAAUAUCAACACUGUUAAUCUACUGUGGCUGCAUUCAUCACAAAUGACUAAUAUUUAAAUAAAAUGCUCUUGCUUAUUAAA